RNAcentral lists this unclassified non-coding RNA (432 nucleotides) under Hevea brasiliensis (rubber tree). The record is from RNAcentral. Lineage: Eukaryota; Viridiplantae; Streptophyta; Magnoliopsida; Malpighiales; Euphorbiaceae.
GUUUUUGUUUUGAGAUUUACUUCUGCAAUUAUAUACAAUAAUAUUUUUGGGCCUCUGUACUUUAAGUGAAGUCAAUGAACAGAUAUUUCCUGAAUUCAAAAUGCCUUGAUCUUUUGACAAUUCAAGUUCAGGCAGUGGAAUCAUUUUGUUAUUGAUUCUGCUCUAUCUAUGGCUCAUAAAAGGCCAUAAGGUCAGCCUUAGCCUUUAUUUUGCAUACAUGUUUGUUUUGUUGUUGAGUUUUCAGCUGGAACUUAUAUAAUUCCUUGCAUGGGUAGCAUGGCCGUUAAGAGAUGAUGAUUGAUUUUGUUGUGAUAUUAUGCUAGUGUGCAUUACAGAGAGAUAAUAAGAACCAUUGAAUUGCCUGUUUUUAUGACAAGAGACAUAGGACUUAUUGGGUUUUCAAUUUCAUGCAGUUUUUGGAACCUCUUGAAC